Molecule: ribosomal RNA, 330 nt
Filed under: uncultured bacterium
Lineage: Bacteria
Description: bacterial SSU rRNA
Rfam family: Bacterial small subunit ribosomal RNA
Source: RNAcentral
UGUGUAGGCGGCCGCGCAAGUCUGGUGUGAAAUCUUCACCGCUUAACGGGAAGAGGUCACUGGAAACUGCGUGGCUUGAGUAUGGUAGAGGCAAGCGGAACUCCUGGUGUAGCGGUGGAAUGUGUAGAUAUCAGGAAGAACACCGGUGGCGAAGGCGGCUUGCUGGGCCAUCACUGACGCUGAGACACGAAAGCGUGGGGAGCAAACGGGAUUAGAUACCCCGGUAGUCCACGCUGUAAACGGUGCGCACUAGGUGUGAGGGGUAUCGACCCCCCUUGUGCCGAAGCAACGCAUUAAGUGCGCCGCCUGGGAGUACGGCCGCAAGGUUGA